CCCACGGGUGGCUGCAGUGGGGAAUAUUGGACAAUGGGCGAAAGCCUGAUCCAGCCAUGCCGCGUGUGUGAAGAAGGCCUUCGGGUUGUAAAGCACUUUCAGUGGGGAAGAAAGCCUUGGGGCUAAUACCCUCGAGGAAGGACAUCACCCACAGAAGAAGCACCGGCUAACUCCGUGCCAGCAGCCGCGGUAAUACGGAGGGUGCGAGCGUUAAUCGGAAUUACUGGGCGUAAAGCGCGCGUAGGCGGUCUGAUAAGCCGGUUGUGAAAGCCCCGGGCUCAACCUGGGAACGGCAUCCGGAACUGUCAGGCUAGAGUGCAGGAGAGGAAGGUAGAAUUCCCGGUGUAGCGGUGAAAUGCGUAGAGAUCGGGAGGAAUACCAGUGGCGAAGGCGGCCUUCUGGACUGACACUGACGCUGAGGUGCGAAAGCGUGGGUAGCAAACAGGAUUAGAUACCCUGGUAGUC
Molecule: ribosomal RNA, 465 nt
Filed under: Vreelandella stevensii
Lineage: Bacteria; Pseudomonadati; Pseudomonadota; Gammaproteobacteria; Oceanospirillales; Halomonadaceae
Description: partial 16S ribosomal RNA
Rfam family: Bacterial small subunit ribosomal RNA
Source: RNAcentral